UGGGGAAUAUUGCACAAUGGGCGAAAGCCUGAUGCAGCAACGCCGCGUGAGGGACGACGGCCUUCGGGUUGUAAACCUCUUUUAGCAAGGAAGAAGCGAAAGUGACGGUACUUGCAGAAAAAGCGCCGGCUAACUACGUGCCAGCAGCCGCGGUAAUGCGUAGGGCGCAAGCGUUAUCCGGAAUUAUUGGGCGUAAAGAGCUCGUAGGCGGUUUGUCGCGUCUGCUGUGAAAACCCGAGGCUCAACCUCGGGCCUGCAGUGGGUACGGGCAGACUAGAGUGCGGUAGGGGAGAUUGGAACUCCUGGUGUAGCGGUGGAAUGCGCAGAUAUCGGGAAGAACACCGAUGGCGAAGGCAGAUCUCUGGGCCGUAACUGACGCUGAGGAGCGAAAAGGGUGGGGGAGCAAACAGGCUUAGAUACCCUGGUAGUCCACCCGCUAAACGUUGGGAACUAGUUGUGGGUCCAUUCCACGGAUUCCGUGACGCAGCUAACGCAUUAAGUUCCCCGCCUGGGGAGUACGGCCGCAAGGCUAAAACUCAAAUGAAUUGACGGGGUCAUAGCUGUUUCCU
RNAcentral lists this ribosomal RNA (569 nucleotides) under uncultured bacterium. RNAcentral describes it as "partial 16S ribosomal RNA". It matches the Rfam family "Bacterial small subunit ribosomal RNA", at positions 355 to 1375 of the family's 1533-position model. The record is from RNAcentral.